UUAGGAAUCUUCCACAAUGGGCGAAAGCCUGAUGGAGCGACACCGCGUGAAGGAUGAAGCCUUUAACUAGGUGUAAACUUCUGUUAUGAGGGACGAAAUUUUUGACGGUACCUCAUGAGAAAGCACCGGCUAAUUCUGUGCCAGCAGCCGCGGUAAGACAGAAGGUGCAAGCGUUACUCGGAAUUACUGGGCGUAAAGCGUCUGUAGGUGUCCUUCCACGUCUGGAUUUAAAUUGCGAAGCUCAACUUCGCAUCUGAUCUGGAAACGAGAAGGAUCGAGUCAUUCAGAGGCAUCUGGAAUGUCAUGUGUAGGGGUAAAAUCCGUAGAUACAUGAUGGAACGCCAAAAGCGAAGGCAGGAUGCUAGGAAUGUACUGACACUCAGAGACGAAAGCGUGGGGAGCAAAGGGG
This 409-nucleotide ribosomal RNA is filed under the name uncultured bacterium. Its description in RNAcentral is "bacterial SSU rRNA". It matches the Rfam family "Bacterial small subunit ribosomal RNA", at positions 355 to 776 of the family's 1533-position model. The record is from RNAcentral.